Non-coding RNA from Ictidomys tridecemlineatus (thirteen-lined ground squirrel), 72 nucleotides. The record is from Rfam. NCBI's taxonomy places the organism in Eukaryota, Metazoa, Chordata, Mammalia, Rodentia, Sciuridae.
UGGAUUGUAGCUCAGUGGUAGAGCACUUGCCUCUCACAUAUGAGGCACUGGGUUCAAUCCUCAGCACCACAU